This 205-nucleotide microRNA precursor is filed under the name Oryza glumipatula. RNAcentral describes it as "MIR812 microRNA precursor family". It matches the Rfam family "MIR812 microRNA precursor family". Lineage: Eukaryota; Viridiplantae; Streptophyta; Magnoliopsida; Poales; Poaceae. The record is from Rfam by way of RNAcentral.
AAAAAGACAAACCCUGGUUUUCGUAUCCAAUGUUUGACCGUCCGUCUUAUUUGAAAAAAUUAUAAAAAAAAUUAAAAAGACAAGUCACGCAUAAAAUAUUAAUCAUGUUUUAUCAUCUAACAACAAUGAAAAUACGAAUUAUAAAAAAAUUUCAUAUAAGACGGACAGUUAAAGUUGGACACGAAAACCUAGGGUUUGUCUUUUU